This 429-nucleotide ribosomal RNA is filed under the name Chloroflexota bacterium. RNAcentral's name for it is "Chloroflexi bacterium partial 16S ribosomal RNA". It matches the Rfam family "Bacterial small subunit ribosomal RNA", at positions 355 to 776 of the family's 1533-position model. The record is from RNAcentral. Lineage: Bacteria; Bacillati; Chloroflexota.
UGGGGAAUAUUGCACAAUGGGCGCAAGCCUGAUGCAGCCAUGCCGCGUGUAUGAAGAAGGCCUUCGGGUUGUAAAGUACUUUCAGUCGGGAGGAAGGUGUCAAGGUUAAUAACCUUGGCAAUUGACGUUACCGACAGAAGAAGCACCGGCUAACUCCGUGCCAGCAGCCGCGGUAAUACGGAGGGUGCAAGCGUUAAUCGGAAUUACUGGGCGUAAAGCGCACGCAGGCGGUUGAUUGAGUCAGAUGUGAAAUCCCCGGGCUUAACCCGGGAAUUGCAUCUGAUACUGGUCAGCUAGAGUCUUGUAGAGGGGGGUAGAAUUCCAUGUGUAGCGGUGAAAUGCGUAGAGAUGUGGAGGAAUACCGGUGGCGAAGGCGGCCCCCUGGACAAAGACUGACGCUCAGGUGCGAAGGCGUGGGGAGCAAACAGG